Molecule: ribosomal RNA, 231 nt
Filed under: uncultured bacterium
Lineage: Bacteria
Description: partial 16S ribosomal RNA
Rfam family: Bacterial small subunit ribosomal RNA
Source: RNAcentral
UACGGAGGGUGCGAGCGUUGUCCGGAAUCACUGGGCGUAAAGGGCGCGUAGGCGGGCGGGCAAGUCAGGGGUGAAAUCCCACGGCUCAACCGUGGAAGGGCCCUUGAUACUGCCCAUCUCGAGGGAGGUAGGGGCGUGCGGAACUUCCGGUGGAGCGGUGAAAUGCGUAGAUAUCGGAAGGAACGACCGGUGGCGAAAGCGGCGCGCUGGACCUCUUCUGACGCUGAGGCG